UAUAAAGCGGAUGGGGUGUGAUUCAAGAGAGUAAUUCAAGUUUCAAAGUGUAGAAUCUCUUGGUGAGAUUUUUAGUGUUUAGAAUGAAAGUAGGAGCUUAGUCUUAGGGGUCAUCCUGAAACUCCAAUGGUCUUUCUGCUCACAAAGAGAGGAUUGAACCAUGUGGUGAGGAGUAGCAGGAGGUCUUAGUCUUGGGGGCUUCCAGUACGCCUCAAGGCCCGGAACAGGUAACCUCGUGAGUGUGGCAGGGUG
This 252-nucleotide long non-coding RNA is filed under the name Vigna radiata. RNAcentral describes it as "long non-coding RNA (VRAD_LNC006323)". The record is from RNAcentral. Lineage: Eukaryota; Viridiplantae; Streptophyta; Magnoliopsida; Fabales; Fabaceae.